Molecule: ribosomal RNA, 253 nt
Filed under: uncultured bacterium
Lineage: Bacteria
Description: partial 16S ribosomal RNA
Rfam family: Bacterial small subunit ribosomal RNA
Source: RNAcentral
GACGUAGGGUGCGAGCGUUGUCCGGAUUUAUUGGGCGUAAAGAGUUCGUAGGCGGCUCGUCGCGUCAGCUGUGAAAACCCGCGGCUUAACCGUGGGCUUGCAGCUGAUACGGGCGGGCUAGAGUUCGGUAGGGGAGACUGGAAUUCCUGGUGUAGCGGUGAAAUGCGCAGAUAUCAGGAGGAACACCGGUGGCGAAGGCGGGUCUCUGGGCCGAUACUGACGCUGAGGAGCGAAAGCGUGGGGAGCGAACAGG